RNAcentral lists this ribosomal RNA (253 nucleotides) under uncultured bacterium. Its description in RNAcentral is "partial 16S ribosomal RNA". It matches the Rfam family "Bacterial small subunit ribosomal RNA", at positions 524 to 776 of the family's 1533-position model. The record is from RNAcentral.
UACGGGGGGUGCGAGCGUUGUCCGGAAUCACUGGGCGUAAAGGGCGCGUAGGUGGUUUGAUAAGGGUGUGGUGAAAGCCCGGGGCUCAACCCCGGGUCUGCCGUGCCGACUGUCAAACUCGAGGGCUGUAGAGGCAGACGGAAUUCCGGGUGUAGUGGUGGAAUGCGUAGAGAUCCGGAGGAACACCAGCGGCGAAGGCGGCAUCCUGGACUGGUCCUGACGCUCAGGAGCGAAAGCGUGGGGAGCGAUCCGG